AACCAGGCAGGUAGUGAGUUACCUCAAUGGAUUGUUCAUAGUCAGUUACAGAUUGAACUCCUUGUUCUACUCUUUUUCCCUUUCUCACUAGUGCACUUAACUAGUCUAAA
Aotus nancymaae (Ma's night monkey) is the source of this 110-nucleotide unclassified non-coding RNA. It matches the Rfam family "Y RNA". Rfam says of the family: Y RNAs are components of the Ro ribonucleoprotein particle (Ro RNP), in association with Ro60 and La proteins. The Y RNAs and Ro60 and La proteins are well conserved, but the function of the Ro RNP is not known. NCBI's taxonomy places the organism in Eukaryota, Metazoa, Chordata, Mammalia, Primates, Aotidae. The record is from Ensembl.